ACGGGUGAGUAAUGCCUAGGAAUCUGCCUGGUAGUGGGGGACAACGUUUCGAAAGGAACGCUAAUACCGCAUACGUCCUACGGGAGAAAGCAGGGGACCUUCGGGCCUUGCGCUAUCAGAUGAGCCUAGGUCGGAUUAGCUAGUUGGUGAGGUAAUGGCUCACCAAGGCGACGAUCCGUAACUGGUCUGAGAGGAUGAUCAGUCACACUGGAACUGAGACACGGUCCAGACUCCUACGGGAGGCAGCAGUGGGGAAUAUUGGACAAUGGGCGAAAGCCUGAUCCAGCCAUGCCGCGUGUGUGAAGAAGGUCUUCGGAUUGUAAAGCACUUUAAGUUGGGAGGAAGGGUUGUAGAUUAAUACUCUGCAAUUUUGACGUUACCGACAGAAUAAGCACCGGCUAACUCUGUGCCAGCAGCCGCGGUAAUACAGAGGGUGCAAGCGUUAAUCGGAAUUACUGGGCGUAAAGCGCGCGUAGGUGGUUCGUUAAGUUGGAUGUGAAAUCCCCGGGCUCAACCUGGGAACUGCAUCCAAAACUGGCGAGCUAGAGUAUGGUAGAGGGUGGUGGGAAUUUCCUGUGUAGCGGU
RNAcentral lists this ribosomal RNA (585 nucleotides) under Pseudomonas sp. StFRB112. RNAcentral describes it as "bacterial SSU rRNA". It matches the Rfam family "Bacterial small subunit ribosomal RNA", at positions 102 to 682 of the family's 1533-position model. The record is from RNAcentral. Lineage: Bacteria; Pseudomonadati; Pseudomonadota; Gammaproteobacteria; Pseudomonadales; Pseudomonadaceae.